UCCGUAGGUGAACCUGCGGAGGGAUCAUUACACAAAUAUGAAGGCGGGCUGGAACCUCUCGGGGUUACAGCCUUGCUGAAUUAUUCACCCUUGUCUUUUGCGUACUUCUUGUUUCCUUGGUGGGUUCGCCCACCACUAGGACAAACAUAAACCUUUUGUAAUUGCAAUCAGCGUCAGUAACAAAUUAAUAAUUACAACUUUCAACAACGGAUCUCUUGGUUCUGGCAUCGAUGAAGAACGCAGCGAAAUGCGAUAAGUAGUGUGAAUUGCAGAAUUCAGUGAAUCAUCGAAUCUUUGAACGCACAUUGCGCCCUUUGGUAUUCCAAAGGGCAUGCCUGUUCGAGCGUCAUUUGUACCCUCAAGCUUUGCUUGGUGUUGGGCGUCUUGUCUCUAGCUUUGCUGGAGACUCGCCUUAAAGUAAUUGGCAGCCGGCCUACUGGUUUCGGAGCGCAGCACAAGUCGCACUCUCUAUCAGCAAAGGUCUAGCAUCCAUUAAGCCUUUUUUUCAACUUUUGACCUCGGAUCAGGUAGGGAUACCCGCUGAACUUAAGCAUAUCAAUAAGCGGAGGAAAAGAAACCAACAGGGAUUGCCCUAGUAACGGCGAGUGAAGCGGCAACAGCUCAAAUUUGAAAUCUGGCUCUUUUAGAGUCCGAGUUGUAAUUUGCAGAGGGCGCUUUGGCUUUGGCAGCGGUCCAAGUUCCUUGGAACAGGACGUCACAGAGGGUGAGAAUCCCGUACGUGGUCGCUGGCUAUUGCCGUGUAAAGCCCCUUCGACGAGUCGAGUUGUUUGGGAAUGCAGCUCUAAAUGGGAGGUACAUUUCUUCUAAAGCUAAAUAUUGGCCAGAGACCGAUAGCGCACAAGUAGAGUGAUCGAAAGAUGAAAAGA
This 887-nucleotide ribosomal RNA is filed under the name uncultured Alternaria. RNAcentral's name for it is "eukaryotic LSU rRNA". The stretch from base 514 to 887 matches the Rfam family "Eukaryotic large subunit ribosomal RNA", at positions 1 to 372 of the family's 3401-position model. The record is from RNAcentral. Lineage: Eukaryota; Fungi; Ascomycota; Dothideomycetes; Pleosporales; Pleosporaceae.